This 1344-nucleotide long non-coding RNA is filed under the name Salvia miltiorrhiza (redroot sage). RNAcentral describes it as "long non-coding RNA (SMIL_LNC007806)". Lineage: Eukaryota; Viridiplantae; Streptophyta; Magnoliopsida; Lamiales; Lamiaceae. The record is from RNAcentral.
AAUUAAAUCUUCCUUCAUUACGUAUCUCCUUCUCUUUCUUCAUUCCCUACCGCUUCUCUCUGUCUCUCUCUUUCCCGGCGAGCGUCGCCGGCCUCGCCGCCUCCGGCGCGGCGAGGUCGGCCUCUUCUCUUUCACCUUCUUUCUUUCUUUCUUUCUUUCCCUUUUCCUGAAUCUGAAAUAGAUCUAGGGUUUUCUUUAUUUCCUGAAUUUGAAUAGAUCUAGGGUUUCUACCUCUCUUCCUCCCCUCUCGGAAUUCGUCUCUCCGGUCGAGGUUUGCCUCCACCGCCGUCGUCUUUGUCGUGCCGCCGCCUCCUCUGUUUCAGGUAAGCCUCCCCAUCUCUCUCUCUCAUUUUCUUUCUUCCUUUCUCUGCUCCUCUCUCGAUCUCCCUCUAUCUCGAUCUCUCUCUCCUUUCUGGUCGGGCCGCGGCGGCCGCUGCGAGCCGCGACGGCGCAUGCAGCGCCGGGGGUCGCCGCCGCCCUGCUCUCCCCUCUCUCCCUCCAUCUCGUUCUAACCGUCUCUUUUUAUUUCACUCUCUAUCUCCCUGGUUUAAUCUCCCUCUCUAUCUUUCUCGCUCAACCUCUCUCUGCUGUCAGUAGCCACCACGGCCGCCGUGGCGCCGGUGGCCACCGCCGCCAGCCAUGCCUCCGCUGUGGUGGCUCGCGGCUGCUGCUGCUACUACUAAUUCCCAAUUCAAAAUCUCAUUCCAGCAAACUUCCAAUCUAAUUUUUUUAUUUCAAUUUUAACAUUACAAAAUAAUAGAUCUCAAACUAUUUUCUGUUCCAGGAAUCGUGAUUCAAGAUGAGUUGAGAUGGUUUCAUCGGCAGUUCAUCUACAGCCCAAGACUCCCUUUUUAAAGACUCAGCCUUCUAUUUGGAUUAUUAUUGAUUUUUAAAGACUCAGCCUUCUAUUUGGAUUAUUAUUGAUUUAUAAACUGUUGUAACUAGAUGUAUUCUGUAAAUGUUAAAGGAAAUUGAUAUUAUCUCUGCUAUUUUUGAUUACUACCUACGAGUGAAUCAUUGAGUUGUAGGAAGAAUACUACCUGCUUGUUUGCUGACUGCUGGGGAUGAUUUUUGCUUUUGGAUGGAUAUUUACUUUACUGUUUGGAGUUUGCAGAAUGGGGAAAAAAAAUGAGAUUUAUGGUAACUCAUCGUAUUUAUACUCGUUUGAGUCGGUUUGAUGGAUUUAGCUGGGUGUAAAAUUGAGAGCUGAGUGUAAAGUUGGAAGAUACGUGUAGUAUCAUGCUCUACGUGUUCUUUCACAAAAAUCUUGUUUCUUCACAGGAUAAAUGCAGCCAAUUUGAUCUGAUCAAUUUAUUCAAGAAUAGCAUAACAGUUGGGUUAAUG